Molecule: ribosomal RNA, 496 nt
Filed under: uncultured bacterium
Lineage: Bacteria
Description: partial 16S ribosomal RNA
Rfam family: Bacterial small subunit ribosomal RNA
Source: RNAcentral
AUGAACGCUGGCGGCGUGCCUAAUACAUGCAAGUCGAGCGAACGGACGAGAAGCUUGCUUCUCUGAUGUUAGCGGCGGACGGGUGAGUAACACGUGGAUAACCUACCUAUAAGACUGGGAUAACUUCGGGAAACCGGAGCUAAUACCGGAUGAUAUUUUGAACCGCAUGGUUCAAAAGUGAAAGACGGUCUUGCUGUCACGUAUAGAUGGAUCCGCGCUGCAUUAGCUAGUUGGUAAGGUAACGGCUUACCAAGGCAACGAUGCAUAGCCGACCUGAGAGGGUGAUCGGCCACACUGGAACUGAGACACGGUCCAGACUCCUACGGGAGGCAGCAGUAGGGAAUCUUCCGCAAUGGGCGAAAGCCUGACGGAGCAACGCCGCGUGAGUGAUGAAGGUCUUCGGAUCGUAAAACUCUGUUAUUAGGGAAGAACAUAUGUGUAAGUAACUGUGCACAUCUUGACGGUACCUAAUCAGAAAGCCACAGCUAACUACGUG